This is a long non-coding RNA of Thalassophryne amazonica, 250 nucleotides long. RefSeq lists it as uncharacterized. The transcript is spliced from 4 exons. The record is from RefSeq and is a predicted model, not a curated record. NCBI's taxonomy places the organism in Eukaryota, Metazoa, Chordata, Actinopteri, Batrachoidiformes, Batrachoididae.
GUCGCUAAGCCAUACAACAUAGCUGGACUAACUACUGUCUUGUAGACUUUCACCUUCACUCUUGUAGAUAAUUUUCAGUCACAAAUCACUCCUGCCACCUUUCUCCACCCACUCCACCCUGGCUGCACUCUCUUCAUCACUUCUAUACCACAUUCUCCAUUCCUUUGGACAGGUGACCCCAAGUAUUUAAACUCAUCUACUUUCACCACUUCUACUCCUUGUAACUGGUUUAACAGUCAUUGAUGUGACA